Non-coding RNA from Trichomalopsis sarcophagae, 74 nucleotides. Lineage: Eukaryota; Metazoa; Arthropoda; Insecta; Hymenoptera; Pteromalidae. The record is from Rfam.
GUAGACGUUAGCUCAGUGGUUAGAGCACAGGCCUCUGGCUCUCGGGUCCGCGUGUUCGAGUUCCGUCGUCUACU